This is a long non-coding RNA of Melanotaenia boesemani (Boeseman's rainbowfish), 965 nucleotides long. RefSeq lists it as uncharacterized. The record is from RefSeq and is a predicted model, not a curated record. The transcript is spliced from 4 exons. Lineage: Eukaryota; Metazoa; Chordata; Actinopteri; Atheriniformes; Melanotaeniidae.
CUACGAAUCAAUCAGAGGUUGUGGAAACACUGGAAGUGACGCACCAGCAGAUGAAUACAGCAACGUCACAUCUCAUCUUAACCUUAAAGGUCGUGAUAAGAGCAGGAGACACGAGAGCUCUGACUACAUUAAUGUGCCUCCUGAAUCAGCAACAGAUCCAUGAAAAGAAGAUUAUUACCACCAAAAGAAGAGACUUGUGGACAACAAGCAGAAACAAUAUUCUUGUUUAAACGUGUUAGCAACUGUUCUAGACGUCCAAGCGUCCAUCAGACAGUCAUUUGUCCAGUUUUGUAUCAUAUUUCUUUAAAAUAUUACAUGAUCUGGAUUUAUUUGUUCUCAUUUAUACUUUUUGUAGCAAAAACGUAGGAAAACUAAAACCAUAUACAAAGCUUAACAGCCAUGUCCAUCUUAUACCUCGUCUGCAACAUAAUACAUAGUAGCAAAUUAAAACAAAAUUAUGAAAAGAUUUUUAAUAAUGUGACCAUGGAUUGAAGAAAAACAAAUUGACCCUUGUUGUAUUUUACAAGUUAAACAUUAAAUAACUGAAAUAUUUACUGUCAGUAUUAAAAUGGGUUUAACAGAGUUAACUGGCUUUGAUAACAUUUCAAUGUGCUCAGCUGUGUAAGUAUGUAGUACUCUGCUUAUUUAAUAUGCAAGUGUACUAUAACCAAGUCAUAUGUUGGAUGUUAUGUGGUGUUUUUCCUCCCUGUCAGAGGUUGGUGGUGUUAUGUUGUGUGUGUGUGUUUCCCUGAAUGUCUUUCAAGGAUUGAACAAUGAUGGUGUACGCUUUAAAGUGUGAUGAGCAAGAUUGCUAAGAAUGCUAUUGUGUGGAUAUUAUUUAGCCUUUUUUCUGGUUUAAUUUCUUUAUCAAAUUUAGUUGAGUGUUAAUAAAGAUGGGUGAAUAAAUAAAUGGUUGAAUAUCUUUAUUUAAAUGUUACUCGUCUUGUUAUCUUAUGUAUGUUGAA